This 482-nucleotide ribosomal RNA is filed under the name uncultured bacterium. Its description in RNAcentral is "partial 16S ribosomal RNA". It matches the Rfam family "Bacterial small subunit ribosomal RNA", at positions 30 to 507 of the family's 1533-position model. The record is from RNAcentral.
AUUGAACGCUGGCGGCAUGCUUUACACAUGCAAGUCGAACGGUAACAGGCCGCAAGGUGCUGACGAGUGGCGAACGGGUGAGUAAUGCAUCGGAGCGUGCCCAGUCGUGGGGGAUAACUACUCGAAAGAGUAGCUAAUACCGCAUACGAUCUAUGGAUGAAAGCGGGGGACCGUAAGGCCUCGCGCGCUUGGAGCGGCCGAUGUCAGAUUAGGUAGUUGGUGGGGUAAAGGCUCACCAAGCCAACGAUCUGUAGCUGGUCUGAGAGGACGACCAGCCACACUGGGACUGAGACACGGCCCAGACUCCUACGGGAGGCAGCAGUGGGGAAUUUUGGACAAUGGGCGCAAGCCUGAUCCAGCAAUGCCGCGUGCAGGAAGAAGGCCUUCGGGUUGUAAACUGCUUUUGUACGGAACGAAACGGCUCUGGUUAAUACCCGGGGCUAAUGACGGUACCGUAAGAAUAAGCACCGGCUAACUACGUG